AGGGUUUGAUUAUGGCUCAGGAUGAACGCUGGCGGCGUGCUUAACACAUGCAAGUCGAACGAAACACCUUAUUUGAUUUUCUUCGGAACUGAAGAUUUGGUGAUUGAGUGGCGGACGGGUGAGUAACGCGUGGGUAACCUGCCCUGUACAGGGGGAUAACAGUCAGAAAUGACUGCUAAUACCGCAUAAGACCACAGCACCGCAUGGUGCAGGGGUAAAAACUCCGGUGGUACAGGAUGGACCCGCGUCUGAUUAGCUGGUUGGUGAGGUAACGGCUCACCAAGGCGACGAUCAGUAGCCGGCUUGAGAGAGUGAACGGCCACAUUGGGACUGAGACACGGCCCAA
This 346-nucleotide ribosomal RNA is filed under the name uncultured bacterium. RNAcentral's name for it is "bacterial SSU rRNA". It matches the Rfam family "Bacterial small subunit ribosomal RNA", at positions 8 to 334 of the family's 1533-position model. The record is from RNAcentral.